Drosophila subobscura is the source of this 1347-nucleotide RNA transcript. RefSeq lists it as uncharacterized. Lineage: Eukaryota; Metazoa; Arthropoda; Insecta; Diptera; Drosophilidae. The transcript has 6 exons. The record is from RefSeq and is a predicted model, not a curated record.
UUAAUGGCUGUCCGCGCCAUCAUUAAAUACACCCUCUAUGGACCAGAAGGGUGUAUGGAUUUGGAAGGGAUGAUGGCGUGAGGAUUUGCAGUGGGCGUGGCAUGUUUGCGCGCCCAUUGUCCAACACAUGACCACCAUCAAGCGGCUGCUGGUCCGGCCGCCCGCUGGUAAAUACCUGUGCAGGGCUGCUCGCUGGUGUGGACUUGGAUGCUGUUGCUGCUGCUGCUGGUUGCUGAUUUCUCUUUUAAUGGCUGCGUCGUCGAUGUGGAUUUGGAUGCUGCUGCUGCUGCUGAAUGCUGUUUGGUGAGUAUUUGUAUUUGUUGUUUUUAUUUGUAUUUAUUGUAUUUAAUUGAUUCUUUUUUAUUUCAGGUUUCUCAGCAGAGGAAAUAGCCGCCCACGAUCGCUUCCUGUGGACUCUCCUUGGACCAGAAGGAAGUGACUGGGCUUGCGGUGGAUGCUUGGAUGCUGUUGCUGCUGCUGGUUGCCAUCGCUUGUAGGUUGCUCUGCCGAGGCUGCGUCGUCGCUAAGGAUUGGAUGCUGUUGCUGCUGCUAGUUGCCGGUCGCUUGCAGGUUUCUCUGCCGUGGCUGCGUCGUCGAUGAAAGUCAGCAACGUCCUCGACUAAUACACUCUCCAUGGACCAGAAGAGUGUUUUCCAAUAGAGAGGAUGGUCGGCGUAAGGAUUUGUGGAGGGCGUGGCAUGUUAAGGCGGCCCGUGUCCAGCACUAAACCAAGUGCAAACGGCUGUUAAUCCGGCCGCCUGCAGAUUUACAGCACAGGCUGCAUCGUCGGAUAGUGGGAUCCAAAUCUCGCUCCUUGCUCCAGAAGGAUGUGUAGCGGCUUGGGGAUGGUGAGGCGUGAGGAUUUGCGGAGGGCGUGUCAUUUUUGGGCGCCCCGUGUCCAACUCUCGACUGGAAUCAAACGGUUUCUGGUCGGUCCGCUUGCAGAUGAGUGUUUUCUUUCUGGAUUUUUUGUUUGUAUGUUUUGUUUUAAUUGAUUUAUUUUAUUUUAUUUUCAGGUUAGCUGGAGAGGCUGCGUCGUCGCUAGGGAUUGGAUGCUGUUGCUGCUGCUGGUUGCCGGCCGCUUGCAGGUAAGUGAGUUAUUUGUUAAUUUAUUUUUGUUUUAUUUUAAUUGUUCUUUUCUUUUAUUUCGGGUUUCUCUGUCGUGGCUGCGUCAUCGAUGAGUGUCGGCAACGUCCUCGACCAAUACACUCUCCGUGGACCAGAAGAGUGUUUCCCACUAAUGAGGAUGGUCGGCAUAAGGAUUUACGGAGGGCGUGGCAUGCGUGUGUGCAUAUUUAUCUGUUAUAUUUCUCUUUUUGUUUUGUUUUAAAUUAUAGUUGUUUCCAA